RNAcentral lists this ribosomal RNA (499 nucleotides) under uncultured bacterium. RNAcentral's name for it is "partial 16S ribosomal RNA". It matches the Rfam family "Bacterial small subunit ribosomal RNA", at positions 28 to 507 of the family's 1533-position model. The record is from RNAcentral.
GAUGAACGCUGGCGGCGUGCCUAAUACAUGCAAGUCGAGCGAACAGACGAGAGUGCUUGCACUCUCUGACGUUAGCGGCGGACGGGUGAGUAACACGUGGGCAACCUACCUAUUAGACUGGGAUUACUUCGGGAAACCGGAGCUCAUACCGGAUAAUAUUUAGCUUCGCAUGAAGCAAUAGUGAAAGACCGUUCUGCUGUCACUUAUCGGUUGACCCGCGGUGUAUUAGCUAGUUGGUGGGGUAACGGCUCACCAAGGCAACGAUCCAUAGCCGACCUGAGAGGGUGAUCGGCCACAUGGGAGCUGAGCCACGGCCCAGGCUCCUACGGGAGGCAGCAGUAGGGAAUCUGCCGCAAUGGACGAGAGUCUGACGGAGCAAUGCCGCGUGAGUGAAGAAGGUGUUCGGAUCGUAAAACUCUGUUGUAAGGGAAGAACAAGUACGUUAGUAACUGAACGUAGCGUGACGGUACCUUAUCAGAAAGCCACGGCUAACUACGUG